AGAGCUGGAAAGAGAAGACGGGCCUGAGGGUGGCUGCCAGCUGACCUGGGUUCUACUCUACCUUUGCCGCCAGCAGCUGAAUAACCUAAGGUGGGUGAUACGAGGUGUCAGCUGGGAUGCUAGAAAUUAAAGCAGCUGCCCAUCUGCCUUACAGGCCUCAAGGAAGUUCACACCAGUGGAGGGAUAGUGCAACCCUCUGCACUGCACACAGACCUAGGGAACUGACUCAACUGACUUCAGGACCAUUUGACCUAUUCCCACUCUCAGCUGGGUCUCCCUACUUGCUCAGGACCCAACUCCUAAACUCAAGGUGGGGCAAUCAGGGAGUCAGGGACCUCUGCUAGUGCCUGGCAACUGGGACUUUGCAUGAACAAAAGGCAGCUUGCACCCCACUGAUUUCUGGGAAGAAUUCCACUCCUGAAAUUGGGGCGGUCAGGUUGGCAUCAUCUCCAACCCUAAAUGGCAGGGUUAUGCUUGCCUACAGUGUGUUGAGCAGGAUUCUCAGACUGAGUUGGCUUGGUGGGGAAGGCUGCUGUAAUUUCUAUCAUAGCUAUGUAAAGGGUCUAUAAAAUUACUGCGUUUUGUACUGGGAAUUAAGGUCAGGACCUUGUGCUUAGCAAGCAGGUGCUUAUGCUGUUGACCUAUAUCCCUGGCCCUGUAAAACUACUUUUUGAAGGGUUUUCGAAGAUACUGCUGGAUCUACAAUGGGAUUUUCUUCAGGGAAAGAGGUGAGAAGGCUGAGCAGAGAGCAGUCGGUGUUCUUUAGGUUUAAUGCUCCAGUCUUUUUAAAAACGGCCUUGUUUAUGUAACUAGAAUUAAUUCUAAAGCAUAUUAAAAGCCAGAGAAAAGUUCUGGGAUUAAUUUGCAAGGUAUAUGAGACACAUGGGGACCACUGCUGAUGGGAUGUUCUCCAUCUUAACGGAGAUGACUUCCAUCAUCCCCCACCCCAGAAUGGUCUGCCAUCAUGGAGACUGUACCCUUGACCCCCUCCUUUCCCUCAGUGUUUCCUGCCACCUCCUCACCUUUCCCAACCUUUCACUCAGGCCAAGCACUCUAGCAGUAUUUGCUUAGACUAGAUCUGGGGUCACCCAACACCUGCAGCUCUGAGCACAGCACGCUGACUUGUCUGAGCCUCUUUGGCCAUGCAUCCUUCCUAGCAGAAUUGAGCCACACUGGAUAUUGGGACUGAUCUGCUGCUUCUGUGUGUCCCCUUGCAGAAGUUCCCUUGAGAAUCCCUGCCACCCCAGGGCUCAGGGUUCCAUGUGCUCACUGCCCAUUCUCCAGGCAGAGAACCAGGCACCCUUCUCAAUUUUCCCUUUAUCCAUUGCAUUCCCUUAGGUCCAAACCUGUCCCCCCAGCUCCCAAACUGCUCUUAGAUUGUUUUCAACCCCAGCCAUAACCCUAGUCAGGGGUCCCCCCACUCUCCCCUGGACUGGACUCCCUGCCCACGAUGCCUAACUGCCCCUGAGAGCUCUGCAGUGACAACCAGUUGCCUUCCAUAUACUAAGCCCAAAGCCCUUGCCGUGUGGCCUGUAUGGCCUUUCAGAAUGAAACAAGAUGUACAUAUAUGUAGGGGCCUGGUCCACAUGGACUUGGGGCAGGGUGGCUGCUGCUGCUUUCUGGCCCAGCCUUGAUUUAGCUCCCCAAUGCAGUAUCCAGGCCACACUCCCCUCCUUGAGGGUGCCAUCCUUUUGCAGCUCCCCAAAUGCCCUCCACUUUGGCUCAGCUACCUGCCUUUGCCCACAGCCCCACGUUUGACUGGAAUGCCCACUCCUCCUGUCUCUUUGUGACUCUAGUGUGUCCUUCAGGACUCAUUAGAGACAGCCAGGACUCAGCCAGACUUAGUGAUCUCCCUUAACUCCCCUGCCCAGGCUGGAUGAGGGUCCCCUCUCGGCCAUCACCAACCCUCCACCAUUGCUGGGUAUCGCCCAGCAGGCUGCAUCGUAAUUGGCUAUGCUUUGCUCUUUCUGUCCCUUGAGACCCCGAGCUUUGGACUUUUCCUCUCCUCAACUACCAGGAGCCCAUUGUCACACUGGGCUCUUAAUGUGCUCUCUGCAUUCCUGUUCUUCCACACAUAUAUCCUGAGUGAUAUCUGCACCUUCUGUUGUUCUCCUGGAACAAAUGAGUACUAAACCUUGGGGUCUUUUUGAUGUUUACAAAUGAUUUGCACCCCUUUCCCAGUUUACCCUGCCAGCCGGGGGCAAACUCCACCUUCUCAUCCAGAAUUCUCAUCCACACUCUGGGAACCUGCCUCCCACCUCCAUCCAGACCCAGGAGAAGGCCCCACAUUUCCCCUGGGCCUCCCUCCUACUGCAGCUGUCACUUCCCUCCAAUGACCCUUCAGCACCUGGCUACUCUGCUGGCCACUCCUCUCUGUUGGGAGUGGGUGUGUGCUGUGAGAUCACUGUGGGUAUGGCUGGAUCCCCUCAAGGUCAGGAGCCCUUAUAGGGCAGAGAUCUGGUGCUGCUUAACUCGGAACCUCCCUCGCCCACACCUGCAUCUAGCACAGGCGGGGCAGGGCGCUGGCGGUUUCCGGAGAAACUUUCAGCACCAGAGCAGUGGACAGAGACCCUACUAACCCUUCCGCCAGGGGCAGCCAAGGCUUUCCAAGCGACCUUUCAACUUUUCAUUCCAGGCUCCCUUGCCCAGGUUGAGUAAGGCUGGGGCUCAAAGGGACACCUCCUCCUCCUCCUCUGCCAGCCUGGCAGCUCCACCUCGCCUUCCCCAGAACCUGGCCCUGCCCCACCUCCCAAACAGGCUACUCUAAUGGUUACGAGGCCUGGCCCCAGCUUUCACUGUAGGACAGUACUUUUGUGGCAAGCUACUUAGACCCUCUGUGCGUGGUAAACAAACAUGUGGCUAUGGGAUGGCAGCACAGGACCUAGUUCUAGGAGAGGCUUGGUGACUUCUUGAACAAAUAAACGAAGGAAUUAAGGCAGGACGCCUGUCUUACACAGUUUUGUCAGAUUUAUACAGUUUAACACAUACAGCUGUGUAGCGCAGCCCACGUUGGCUAACUGCGUGUUUCUUCCCUACAGUUUUUGGGAGGUCCUGGAGAGGAGGGAAGGGUAGGGUUACUGGUGAACUUCGGGAACGAUUUUUAUCAGACUGCAGGCCUAGAGAGGACAGGGGAGCGAGGUUCCAGGUCCUCUCCUUUCUGAGUUUUCCGAGGGCUAGGGGAGAACGCCUGCCGCAGCUGAGGAGUCGGCCUCCCCAGCGCGCCUGCCGUGUGUCGCCAGCCCCACGCAGGGCCGGGACACAAACUGGUUUGUGGAUCGAGGUUGGAGGCGGGCGAUGAAAGCUGAGGAGCCGAGGAAAGUCGGGGUGCAGGGCGGGUCCGGGAGCCCAGAACCAGCGCGGGCGGAGUCUGCGAAGCUAGGCACAGCAGCUUCGAGGUUCCUUCCCGAGUUACCCGAGGGACUCCAGGACUGGACCGGGCGUCCAGGCAGCCCCGCCGCCUUCCCCUUUAACCACCCACCCCGGUUUCUCCCUUCUUUUCCUCCGGCUGCUGCGUGGAUCGGGCCGGGACAGGGCGUGCCCUGCUCACCUCCGUGGGCUGCUCUGCGGGAAGGCGCCCCUAGUUCCUGAACCCCGCUUUGGAAGCAAUGCGUGUGUGUGAGAGUGUCGGGUGGGCUCUCCGGUCCGAGGGCGCCCCGGGUCUGAGCGUCAGCGCUGGAAGCCUUACCUGAGGCCUGGGAGGCCAUCGCCGCGGGCUGACCACCAACCGAGCGCAGCUCUGGCCUUGCGUCCAGCUGAGGCGCUGGCGCCCCCGACCGAUGCCCCCGACGCCUUCCCCCCGCAGGACUGCGCAGCCGCCGCUCGGGCUCCACGACCCAUCGAUUUUUCUGUUGACUUUGGGAAUCUCAUUAAUCCUUCGUUAAUUACCCCGUGGGGACUCGGCCCAGAGCAGCCAAUGGCGAGGUGGUUGCACAGGCGGGCGGGGCCGGAGGCGGUGCUAGCUCGGGUGCUGGUGCUGGAGGUGGCAGUGGUGGGGCUGGGGGACGCGUUCCUGAGUAGGUGGACAGGCCCUGAGCUGGCAGCCUGCCCUCGGGGUGGGUAGAUUGGGCGUGCAAUGUCCUGAGGCCCCGGGGGUUCAGGCUGCAUUUUCUUCUGGCAGCCAAGCUGGGACCUUCCAAGUCUUGGGUCGUCUUUCUCGGACCUUAUUACUAGGCUGGGGCGACCCAGAACCUAAUGUCUGUCCCUUGAGUCAAACAUGAACUUGGGGCUGAACAUGAACUUGCCAAGAUGGGAGGCAGUCAGCCCUCUCUGGCAGCCCUGUGCCCUCUGAUCUCCACAGACCUCAGGCCACUGACAGGGUCUAGACACCUUUCCUCUCAUAUUCUCUGGGUUUAAAAUGUUGCUAUGCCCAUCCUGUCCCCCCAGUGUGAUCGCACCCGCUGCAGUCCACAGCCUGGUCCUGGCUGAACCCUUCCUCCCACUUGUUGUAGCUUGGCAUGACUGAUGCCAUCUUGAGCCUGCAUGUAACUAGUGUCCUGUAUUUGACCCAGGAAAAUGGAAAAUUACUCAGAGUAUAAGUCCCAUGAGAAAAGCAGAAUGAGCUGCACCCACAAGAGAAAAAUUAACCUGCUUAACCAAAGAAGCAGGAUACAAGUGUCAACCAAAUAUUAAUAUAAGAUUCUAACUAAACUGUUUCCAACAGGAUGUCUUUUUGUGGUUCUCUGUUUUAAAACUCUGUAACUUUCCAGUUCAGGGUCACUCAGUGGGUGAGCCUCUGAAAUGGGUUCAUGCAAGUGAUUGCUGAGCUCAGCUAAUUGAAAUCCAAAUUUAUCAGUUUGGUUCCUAUAUUGCUUAUGAACCCCUUCACCACUGACCACCAGCUCUUUCCUGACUGGCUAUGAUGCUUCUGUCCCAGUCUCUUGUCUUCCCCCCUGCAGGUCCAUCUCUAUGCCUUUGGCAGAGGGGAAGCCCUGAGGUGCAGCUCUGCCGGGACCCCCACAGGGAUGGGUGGGUAUUGAGAGGACUAGGGGUUUAGGAUCUGAGUUCCCCAAACUGCGUUAGCGUCAUCCUGUAUCUGUAUGUCAUGGGUUCCCGAAAUUCCUGAAAUAUUUUUUGGUGGAAAAAAAUUCUGCCUCUUUAGUUAAUGCACAAAGAUGCAGCUGGACAGGAGGAAUGGUCUCACAAGAGGGCGGCUCUGGUGGACAGCAGUUACCUGGAUGUUUCAGCAUGGUCAAGGGAGGAUUUUGAAUGCUCCCAACACAAAGAAAUGAUGGGUGGAUAAGAUGAUAGAUACGUCAAUUACCCUAAUCUGAUCAUGACACAUUGUACCCAUGGACUGGAAUGCCACAAUGUACUCUGUAACAAUGUACAAACUACUAUGUGUCAAUUUUAAAACACAAUAUUAAAAAGCUCUGCUGCUUUUUUAAAA
Cavia porcellus (domestic guinea pig) is the source of this 5386-nucleotide long non-coding RNA. RefSeq lists it as uncharacterized. The record is from RefSeq and is a predicted model, not a curated record. NCBI's taxonomy places the organism in Eukaryota, Metazoa, Chordata, Mammalia, Rodentia, Caviidae. The transcript is spliced from 2 exons.